CCUACGGGUGGCUGCAGUGGGGAAUAUUGCACAAUGGGCGCAAGCCUGAUGCAGCCAUGCCGCGUGUGUGAAGAAGGCCUUCGGGUUGUAAAGCACUUUCAGCGGGGAGGAAGGCGUUAAGGUUAAUAACCUUGUCGAUUGACGUUACCCGCAGAAGAAGCACCGGCUAACUCCGUGCCAGCAGCCGCGGUAAUACGGAGGGUGCAAGCGUUAAUCGGAAUUACUGGGCGUAAAGCGCACGCAGGCGGUCUGUCAAGUCGGAUGUGAAAUCCCCGGGCUCAACCUGGGAACUGCAUUCGAAACUGGCAGGCUGGAGUCUUGUAGAGGGGGGUAGAAUUCCAGGUGUAGUGGUGAAAUGCGUAGAGAUCUGGAGGAAUACCGGUGGCGAAGGCGGCCCCCUGGACAAAGACUGACGCUCAGGUGCGAAAGCGUGGGGAGCAAACAGGAUUAGAUACCCGUGUAGUC
This 465-nucleotide ribosomal RNA is filed under the name uncultured Klebsiella sp. RNAcentral's name for it is "bacterial SSU rRNA". It matches the Rfam family "Bacterial small subunit ribosomal RNA", at positions 338 to 795 of the family's 1533-position model. Lineage: Bacteria; Pseudomonadati; Pseudomonadota; Gammaproteobacteria; Enterobacterales; Enterobacteriaceae. The record is from RNAcentral.